This 501-nucleotide ribosomal RNA is filed under the name uncultured bacterium. RNAcentral's name for it is "partial 16S ribosomal RNA". It matches the Rfam family "Bacterial small subunit ribosomal RNA", at positions 30 to 523 of the family's 1533-position model. The record is from RNAcentral.
AUUGAACGCUGGCGGCAGGCUUAACACAUGCAAGUCGAGCGGAGCGAGGGUGCUUGCACCUUAGCUUAGCGGCGGACGGGUGAGUAAUGCUUAGGAAUCUGCCUAUUAGUGGGGGACAACAUUCCGAAAGGAAUGCUAAUACCGCAUACGCCCUACGGGGGAAAGCAGGGGAUCUUCGGACCUGGCGCUAAUAGAUGAGCCUAAGUCGGAGUAGCUAGUAGGUGGGGUAAAGGCCUACCAAGGCGACGAUCUGUAGCGGGUCUGAGAGGAUGAUCCGCCACACUGGGACUGAGACACGGCCCAGACUCCUACGGGAGGCAGCAGUGGGGAAUAUUGGACAAUGGGGGGAACCCUGAUCCAGCCAUGCCGCGUGUGUGAAGAAGGCCUUAUGGUUGUAAAGCACUUUAAGCGAGGAGGAGGCUUACCUAGUUAAUACCUGGGAUAAGUGGACGUUACUCGCAGAAUAAGCACCGGCUAACUCUGUGCCAGCCGCCGCAGUAA